This 17687-nucleotide long non-coding RNA is filed under the name Vitis vinifera (wine grape). Its description in RNAcentral is "long non-coding RNA (VVIN_LNC000897)". Lineage: Eukaryota; Viridiplantae; Streptophyta; Magnoliopsida; Vitales; Vitaceae. The record is from RNAcentral.
UACAAGCAUAGCGACAAGGGAUUUCUAUUUUUAUGUCAUUACUAUAGUGGGAUUUCAAAGAAAUGGGCUUCAUUUUUUAAGCUUCUCAUUACCAGCAGGAGUCCCACUGCCGUUAGCACCUUUGUUAGUAGUUCUUGAGUUAAUCCCUCAUUGUUUUCAUGCAUUAAACUCAGGAAUGCAUUUAUUUGCUAAUAUGAUGGCCGAUCAUAGUUCAAUAAAGAUUUGAAGUGGGCUUGUGUCACGCCCAAAAUCUGGUUAACCCAAAACUCGACUCGUGACCUCAGUUCAAAAGUUUGACCCUAAGAGUUACUCCUAUCCACGUUGGCAAUCAACUAAAAUAUCCUGAAUUUUUUUUCUAUUUUUCAAUAAAGCGUUUAAUCCCAAAUAAAUUUAUUAAGUUAAGAUUUACUGUAACAUAUUAUUUUAUUUUUCCAAAACCAACUAUCACACUAUCUCCUGUUCACAAGUAUAAUAAAUCCACCAAUCAUCUUUCUACCCAAAAACUCAAAUAUUUAUAAUAAUCUCCAAGUAAAAAAGAAUAUUUCCAAAAAUGUUUUACAAACUAACAAAAUAUAAUUUAAUUUACAAAAGUCCAUAUAACUCAAAUUAGCACAUGUCAAAAAGGUAAUAUACAUCUAAAAACAACCAUUAUUAUGGUUCUUUUGCUUUCUGGAACACUUCCUAAUCUUCCUGUGGCCCCUCAAAAACUAUAUUUGCAUAUAAAAAUUUUAGAAAAUAAAAGAAUGAGCAUUUCCACGUUGCUUAGUAGGGUGUUUUACACCCAAAUGAGUUACACAUUCUAGGUCAAUAAAACACAACUAUAUACCAAAAUAUAAUGUUACAUUUACAUUAUACACACUAAAAGAAACCUCAACUAUACAAAUUUAAACUAAUCAAAAUUAUCAUUUUUCUUAUUCAAUAAUAUGCCAAUAAUUCUAAAUUUACAAAAUAAAUAAGCCAUUUUAGUCUUGAAUAAUAUAUUCAAACAUACACUUGAUAAAUAAUACAAAUCCUUCUUCCAAAUGCAACCAUGAUGCAAAUGUUUACACGCAAUCACGUAAUACACUGUCAUUCUCGAGCUUUCACCGAAAGAUACGCAUCCGUACCCAAAUACACUCUCCAUUCAGAAUUUUCUCAGGGUAAACUUUUGGGUCUUUCACCCUAAGGAUCUCACUCUCUUCUUAAUUCACCAUCUCUAGGGUCAUUCCAUUUCUUAUUUUUCUUUUCAUUUCAUUUUUGCCAUCUUCGGGGUCUUUUCAUUCUCAUUUCCCUUUCACACAACGAUUUCUUUAAUUUUUCUUUUUCUUCACACAACCAUGAUGCAUAUGAAAUGCAAUCAAAUCAUAUUUUAACAUCCAUAAAUUUCCAAAACAUAAUUUUAUUUACUCCCAUUAUGUUUCAUAAUUUCCAACAAUUCACACAACGAUUUUUCUUCACUUUAAUCACCACAAACAUCAAAGAAAAUUCAUAAUUAAUUUAUAUAGUAUCAAAACAUAGUUUUAAACCUUAGCCACAUAAAUUCUAUUUAUUCUUGACAUGCUUAAUAAUUUCCAACAACCAAUAUAACCAUUUUUUUUUUCAAUUAAAUAACCACAUAUAACCAAGAAAAUUCCCACUAAUACAAAUAUUAACAAAAACGUAAUUUAUGUCAUAAUUUAUUUAUCUUCAAUAAUCUCAAUAAUUUUAACACUCAAUACAACAAUUUUCCACAAUUAAGCCACCUCAACAUUCGGGAAAUUUUUUUCAAUAAUUCAAAUAUUAACAAAAUCCCAAUUUAUACCAUCAAUUUAUUUAUUUCUAACAAUAUUAAUAAUUUUAAAACAAUAAAUUUAACCAUAUCUCAAUAUUACAAAAUUUCAACAAAUAAAUUCCAUUAUUUUCAACACUAAUAUAUCAUCAAGAAAUUUAUAUAAUUUCUAAUAUGAUAAAAAUCACAAAAAAUAUAUUAACCAAUGUUCCAAAUUAGCAAAGUUUCAUAACCACAACAAUCCGGUAAAUUCUAUCAUAAGGACAACAAUUAAAUACCAACAAUUCUAAUAUUUUUAUCUUGAAUUAAACUUUUAUCCACUUUCCAUUUAACAUUUUCAAAGCAAAACCAAAUCAUUUCAUAUAUUUAGAGUUUCCAAAAAAUAACUUAAUGAAAACUAUAUGACGAUCUACUAUAACUCAACAACUCACCCAUUUUCAUGGAGUUUUUUGAAAGUAAAUAAAAGCAAAAUGAAAUGCCCUAAAAAAUUCGAGAGAGAAAUUUAGGAAAAACACACCCUUACCUGUACAAUAAAAUCCAACCGUCAAUGAUAAAAAUAGAUGUCGAUUUAAUACCUAAACUUUUUCUAACAUUAAAGUAAAUAUGAUUUCAUGAAUUUCACAUUUUCUAUCAUCUUGACCUAAAUCCAAUGGGAUUGAUCACUUUUUUCUCAUUCCAUAAUUCAAUCCCAUGAAGAUGAUUCGGUCACCAACCAUUUACUAAGUUGUGACACCCAUUUUCUACACCAAUUCAAACACUCCACUUUUGUUAAUAACUUUUAGCCAAUAUAAAAAAAUGAACCUACCAUUUGAUAUAUAAAGCAUGCAUUUUCUUUUAAUGAUGUCAUAUUUUGAAUUAUUUUUUAUAUAAACAUCAUUAAAUUCAUUUAAGAGAAGUUAUUUUAUGAUGGGAUAUACUUUCUACUUUUUAUUUUUAAAAUUAGAAACCACUAUAUACUCUCUUUUAUCUUUCUUUUACACUUGAAUUCUUUAAGGUUUUAGGAGCUUCAAAAAUGUUAUAUGCACACCUUCCACAUAAUCUCUAGAGGGUAAAGUGGAUAUAUAAUAGGUAUAAAAAGCAACUCUAUCAAGUAGCAUGUAAACAAUUUAUGACUUAAGAGAAGAUAUUGUUACGACAAAAGGCAUAUUCCAGCUUAUUAUUUGAAAAGGCUUUAAAGAGGAUAUUCAGUGGAGAAUAAAUGAUUUGUAGAUUUGUGGUUAGCUAAAAUGUGUUCAAGGUAGUAUAUGCAUACCUUUAGUGAGUUAAAAUGGCUAUUAAACACGAGUUCCCUAGGUAGAUCAAUCAUGAGUUUAAUUAACCACGUGACUAAUAAGUAUAGUAUUAAAUACAUUACAAUUUACAAGUAACCCUUGGAGGGAAAAACUACUAAUAUGGUGAAUCACAUGUCAAGAAAGUAGUUUUUUUUUUUAAUUUAUUUUUUAUUCUUCUUCAUAUUUUCAAGUUUUCAACCAAAAAAAAAAGUAUUACGCUCAACCACUUGUCCAGUGGUUCUACUUUUGUGACCACCUAAGCUUUAUUACAGGAACUUUUGGGUAUCCCGAACUCUCUUAAAUUAUGAAGCCACCUUUUUUUAUGGACUUCAACCAAGUUUUAAGCAUAAUUUUCAAGUAAAAUAUAUCUCAAUUUAAUCUUUUAAGCUUUUAACAACUUUAGAGUACUUUUCAUAAUAAAAAUGAGGCUCAUGGUGGUAUCAAACUAGGAUUACCCAAUUCUUAAGCUAAAUAGCUCAUAAUAUUUAAGAAGUCUUCUCAUACGUGGUUUUAGUUCUACCUCUUUAAAACUAAUUGAGAUAGUCAUAUUUGUUAUUAUAAGCUCCUUGGGUAAAUUAUGAAUAAGUUAAUUUCAGCUUAAAAUAAUAAAUUGAGCAAAUAAACAUGUAAUAAAGUUGAAACUCAUGACCCUCCUACUGAAUGAAGUUUUAAUAUUAUAUUGGAUAAUUAAUUUUUUUUAAAGCUUAAACUUAAGAUUUGCAUCCUCGUGAAUAUUGCAUUAUGCUUUCUAAUAAUAUAUCACAUACUUUUUUAGAUUUUAUGUUAGACCUGUGAUUACUUCUCUAAAUCAAUUUUUCAGCAUAUUGUAUAUAUGUACUUAUUAGGAAGAAUCAAUUAUCAUUGAAUGCAGAAAUACAACUCCUCAUAGUGUCUCUUUGCUUAUUUCCUCUACAGCUUUGAUUAGUUGAAUUUAAAAGAACUCCCGGGUGCUUUCACAAAAUGUAUUGAACUUCAAACCUGCACAAAGAUAGAAACCAUAUCAUUGAAAUAAUUAAAUAGAUCAACUAAAAUCAAAGUGCUAUUGUCUUAUUUAAAAAUAAAUAUAAAAAAUCAUGGGCUUUAUGCAAAAACGAUAGUUGCGCAAAACUCCUUAUUGGGAAUACUAGAUAGGUGCCAUGUGUCAUUUCAUUCGGCACCUUCUUCCAUAACCAUCAAAAAUGAUCUUUGUUCCGGAAGAAAACAAGAGUUUUGGGCAAAUAUAAUAUAUUUGAAAAAUAAAUUCAUAAAAUAGAUUUUCAAUCAAAAUAAUUUUCAAGUUAGUGCAUGUGUUUUCAAAAUUUGAAAUUUUCCACUGUAUGUGAAAAUUGUGGAAAGUGUCUUUUAAAAAGACACUUUCAGUAUAAACCCAAUUUUUAAAAAAUUAUGAAAGACAUCCAAGUAUAAUUCCAUUUUUUUUUUUUUGGAAAUUAUGGAAGGUGUCUCUUCAAGAGACACUUUCAGCAUAAAUUUGAAAUUUUUCACUGUUUGAAUGAAAAUUGUGAAAAGUAUCUCUUGAAGAGGCACUUUCAGUAUAAACCCAAUUUUUUUAAAAUGUAAAAGAGACACCUUUCCCAAUUCCUAAAAAAUGGAAUUAUACUAAAGGUGUCUCUUGAAGAGACACCUUUCAUAAUUUUAAAAAAAUUGGGUUUAUACUGAAAUUGUCUCUUGAAGAGACACUGUCCACAAUUUCCAUACAUAGAAAAAUUUCGAAUUUAUGUUGAAGAGAGAUAUCUUUAACUUUAAAAUUAUUUUCACAAUUUUAUGGAAUUAUGGAAAGUGUCUUUUCAAAAAACACCUUUAGUAUAAAUCUAAUUUUUUGGAAUUGUAGAAAUUGUCUCUUGAAGAGGCAAAUUCAUGAAACAUUCAAAUUUAUCAAAUUAUGGAAGGUGUUUUUUCAAGAGAUACCUUUAAUGCAUAUUGGAUUUUUUAUCAUAUGAAAGGUGUUUUUUCAAGAGACAUAUUUAAUACAUAUUGGAUUUUUUAUCAGGUAAAAAGUGUCUUUUCAAGAGAUAUUUUUAAUAUAAAUUUAAUUUAUAAAAAUGAUAGAAGGUGUUUGUUAAAGAAAUACUUUAUAUUAAAUUUAAUUCUUUUAAAUAUAUAUAUUAUGAUUUUGAAAACGGUGGAAGAUGCUCUUCAAAAGACACCUUUGGCAAAAGUUAAGAAAGCCCAACUCACGGGUAAUUCUGCCGACAGAAAAAAUGAUAGGACGUGACCUUUGAUGUGAUAAAUGAAAAAGGGUAUGUUGGUCCCGUACCAUUGCCAUCAAUUAUGAGCGCGCAGCAGGUCCGCAAGUUUUUUCCAGUCAACGGAUAUUUUCCACAUUCAUUUCGUAUUCCACGCAGACUUACGAAAGCAACCUUAGCGAGUAUGGGUGGACGCAUUUUCCUGAUAAGCUUCAUGGAAUCUUUAAGAUGAAGGAGGAUGCUACUUCCACAUUCUUUAACCGAGCGUGCUAAACACGCUCUCUAAUUUUUCUAUAUUCUUAAUUUCUAAUGUUGUAUAUAUAAUAUUUUUUAAAUAUAAUAGUAAAAAAAUUAUUUUAAUUUAUUAUAAUUUUAAGAGUCAAAUAAAAAAUUAAAAAAUACAUAGACAAAUAGACCUUUAGCAAAAUAAUUUGAGCUUAAAAUAAUAAAUUGAGCAAAUAAACAUAUAGUGAAGUUAGAACUUAUGACCCUUCUACUAAACUAAAUGGAGUUCUAAUAUUAUAUUGGAUAAUUAAUUUUUUUAAAAGCUUAAACUUAAGAUUUGCAUCCUCGUGAAUGUUGCAUCAUACUUUCUAAUAAUAUAUCACAUACUUUUUUAGAUUUUAUGUUAAACCUGUAUUCACUUCUCUAAAUCAAUUUUUCAGCAUAUUGUAUAUAUGUACUUGUUUGGAUGAAUCAAUUAUCAAUGAAUGCAGAAAUACAACUCCUCAUAGAGUCUCUCUCUGCUUAUUUCCUCUAUAGUUUGAUUAGUUGAACUUAAAAGAACCCCCAAGUGCUGUCACAAAAUGUUUUGAACUUCAAACCUGCACAAAGAUAGAAACCAUAUCAUUGAAAUAAUUAAAUAGAUCAACUGAAAUCAAAGUGUUAUUGUCUUAUUUAAAAAUAAAAAUCAUGGGCUUUAUGCAAAUACGAUAGUUGCGCAAAACUCCUUAUUGGGAAUACUAGAUAGGUGUCAUGUGUCAUUUCACUCGGCACUUUCUUCCAUAACCAUCAAAAAUGAUAUUUAUUCAGGAAGAAAACAAGAGUUUUAGGCAAAUAUAAUAUAUUUGAAAAAUAAAUUCAUAAAAUAGAUUUUUCAAUCAAAAUAAUUUUCAAGUUAGUGCAUUUCAACUACUUGGACAUCCAAAUAGUCUUAAAAUGUUUUAUUUUUUUAGCAUAAAUUUAAAACCGUAAUUAAUAACUAUAAUUUUAACCAUUUAAAAAAAAAAAGAAUUUCUAAGUUGGUAUGUUUCAACUACAUGAACAUCCACAUGGCAUGAUAAUAAUUUUUUUUUAAAUGUUUUUUACAUCACAAAAUUGUAAUUAGUAACUACUAUUUUAAAUUUUUUUAAAACAUAAAAUCACAGUUGGAGACUAUAAUUUUAAGUAUAUCUUUAAAAUUUAUAGUUAAUAAUCGUAGUUGCCGAUUAUGAUUUUAAAUUUAAAUUUAAAACCAUAAUUGAUUAUUAUUAUUUUAACCAUUUAAAAAAAUCAAAAUUAUAGUUAGCAAGUACAGUUUGUGACAUGGAUACACAUGUAGAUGAGACACUCUAGUUUGAAAAUUAUUUUGAAAGGGUCUACUUUGUAGAAUUUUAUUUUUGCAAAUAAAUUAUUUUUCCUCAAAACUCAAAUCUAACUUGUUUAGAAAUAAAUUCAAUUAUACACUUUCCUAGUUUUUCUCUUCCCUAAUAUAAGACCAAGUCCGUGUUAUCACUUUUCCACAGGAAUAUUCAGUUUCAGUCUUCAUCAAUGCUGUCCAUUCCCUUAGCUGUGCAUUAUUCCAAUGCCAGUUUUCUACCAUAAUUUAGUCCAGGAUGUGGAACCACUGCUGGAUCAUGCUGGAUCCUGUUGUGAGACUUGACCAUCAACAUCCCUUCUCUCCAUUUGUGGGGUCCUGCCCACUUAAUCACUACUUUGGAAAUUUCGCUAACAUCCAAAUCUCAACAACCCAAAACCACAGACUUCUGCAUCCUUCCAUCCAUCUUUCUUUAAGUAAAAUAGACACCCAUUUGGUCUUUCUUUCACUUUCUCCCAAGAAUACUAAUCUUGUCUGACUGAUUAGUUUCAUCAGAGAUUAUUCAAGAAAAAGAAUAUCACAUUUUAUAUUUGAAAAAAAAAAGUACUGAAUAUAUUAGAAAGAUAUCAUCCACGAAAAGUUGGAAAUGUAAUCUUGUACAAGGAAAGGAAACAAGGGAGAGUCUUAAAUAAAUUGUUUCCAUAAGAGACCUAAUGACCAAUGUCAUUAGGGGUGUUUAAAAAAAAUUAAUUAAUGGUGAUUAAAUGUUUAAAAAAUUAUAUUUAAUGCAUAUUUUUAUGAUGACGAAGACUUGCAAAAGCAACCUUUGGAAUUUGUCUGGACCAUUUUUCUGAUAAGCUUCAUGGAAUUUUAAGAUGGAGAAUGCUACCUCCACAUUCUUUAACCGAGUGUGCAAAACACGCUCUCUCUAAUUUUUCCAUAUUCUUAACUUUUAAUGCUAUAUAUGUAUAAAAUAAUUUUAAUUUAUCAUGAUUUAAGAGGAGUUAAAUAAAAACUUAAAUAUUUUUAAAAAGAAAAUUUCAAUAUGAUACAUCUAUUUUAAAAUUAUCUUUUGGAUAGAUAUUUUAUAAAUUAUUAUAAAUUUUAAAAUAUUUUUUCAACUAUUAUACAUCUCAAAUUAUUUCUAUCAUUUUUUUAAUUUCACCUUAUCAAGUUUAUAAGAUAGAAUAUAGAGUAUGACAUGGAUUUAAAUUUUAUAAUCAUAUUAAAAUAUUAAAAAAUUAUCAACAAUCAAAUAGUUUCAUAUAUAUAUAUAUAUAUAUAUUUUCAAAUCUUAUUCAUUGUAACUUCAUUCUAUUUAUUUAUACCCUUUUACCUUAGUUUCAAUGCUUAUAUAUUCAUCAAACAACCUAAAUUUUAUUUUAUAUAUAUUUAAUGAUUUAGAUUUUUUGUUAUAUAUAUAUAUAUAUAUAUGAAGGGUUUAUCCCAUCACUUCAUGAGUUUCCCUUACUCCACUCCAUGAACAAUAUCUUGAAAGUGAAGUUGACUUUGCUCAUCCUGCAAGACUUAUCCUCAAGAGUCAAGAACUUGAACCUGAACCUUAGGAUAAAUCUUAGGAUAAAUCUUAUACCACCAUCUCUUGUCCGGGUUGUUCCCUAACGGGAGACAUUAUUAGUUUUUUUUUUUUUUUUUUUUAUCAAAUUAUUAUUCUAACACCAUUUUUAUUAAUGUGAAAUUAUCAUCCCUUAUUACUUUUCCCUUUCUGUCCUCUCCCUUCUCUCCUCCCCAACCUCAUUUCCUAAUUGCACCCUAUUUUUAUUUUUCUUUCCUAACCCCCACCCCACAUUUUAGCAUUAUUUUUCUUUUAUUUUUAUCUUCAUUUUCAUCUCUACCCAUCCAACCCCCCACCCCAUGUAAACUUUGUUUUGUUUUUCUUUUUAUUUCUUUUAUUUUUUUCACACUCAAUUAUUUUUCAUAUUCUUCUUAUAUUUUAAAGCAAAAUAAUUUCUUUAAAUAAUAAAUUAUAAAAUGAUUUUUUCACCAAAAGUAUAUUAUGUAAAAUGAUUUUAUUAUAUUCAAUGUUUUAAUGUGAAAUUCAUAACUCAAUUUUUUAAAAUAAAAAUUAUUAUUAAAAUUUUAAAAUAAACAAUAUUUAAUUGGAAUGGUCUUUUAAAAAAUAUGUUUGUUUAUUGUGUUCAAUAUGAUUUUUUUUGUAACCUAAACAAAAAUAUUGCAUAUAACUAGAGCUUGAUUAAGAAUAUGAGCAAUGUAAUAAUUAUUUGUGUUAGUAAAGUAAAGACUCAUAAAACAAAGUAUGUAAUCAAGAGCCUAAAAAAAAGUCAAACCCAGGUUGUUGAAUCCCCACCUAGGCCGCCGAUUUUUCUUUUUGAUAUAUAUAUAUAUAUAUAUAUAUAUAUAUUGUCAUUAGAUGAUUGAAUUUCAUCAUUCAUUGUAUUUCGUAUGUGAUUUGUAAUCUUAAUCAACUAGAAUUUAUGUUCAAUAUGUUGAGAGGAGGUUAAAGAGAGUUCUUUAUUAAAAAUGGUAUAUGUGAAAAAAAAAAAUAUGAUAAAAAAGUGUUACGUUUAACAAAAGAGCUAUUGCAAAUAUCAACCUUUUUUUAUAUUCUUUAACCCCACUUUAACCAAAGGAUAAUAUAAACUUAUCACAAGAUUAUGAAAAGACUUGUCUUUAUUCAUGAUAUUUUUCUUUAACAGUUCAACUCGGCACCUUCUUCCAUAAAUAAAUUAUAUUUGCUUUGGAAGAAAACUUGAGUUUUGAACAAAUAUAAUAUAUUUGAAAAAAAAAAUCCAUAAAAUGGAUCUUCAAUCAAAAUAAUUCUCAAAAUAGUGUAUUUGUACUUGGGCAUCCAAAUAGUUUGAGAAUAUUUUUUAUGUGAUAAAAUCCUAAUUGAUAACUAUGAUUUUAAUUUUUUUUUUUUAAAUAUAAAACCGCUGUUGGUAACUAUAGUUUUAACUAUUUUAAAAGAAAAUUCAAAAUCAUAAUUAACAACUAUAGUUUUAUAAGGUGGAUAUGUUAGCUCUUUUCUUAUAAUGUGUGCUCAUAUAUAAUUAUAUUUGUGUAAAUAUUAUUUAAAAGUAUCAAUUGAUAGAUAGGUGAAUCAAUUGAUUGGGCAUCCAAGAGUCUUAUGUAUGGAAGACUCAAAUUAUAAAUGGGGAGUUAGAAAAUUUAAUUUAUAUGAAUGUGGUGUUUGUAACCCCAUCAUUAUGAAAUUUAUUUUGUACAUUAUAUUUAUGAGUAAUAGAGGAAAAUGAAAAAGUAUAAUCUAUGCAUUUAUAUAAAUGCAUUCAAGUUCAUAACUCACCAUUACUCAUUAAUUUGUACAUAAUAGGUGUAAAUAAUGAGUAUAACUCUCAUAUAGUCUUUUAUAAGAAGACUAAGAUGUUGUUUGUUUUUUGGCUGAAUAGAAAAAAUCAAAUAUUUUGGCUUUUUUUAUUAAGCUAAAAGUAACUUGUUGAUACUAUCCAACAUAGGUAAAGUGAACUUAUUAUCAAUAAGUUUAGUUUAAUGAUGUUGGUUGAUGUCAAUAAGUUACUUUUAGCUGAAUAGAAAAAGCAAAAAUAUUUGAUUUUUUCUAUUCAGCCAAAAAACAAACACCACCUAAGAGAUGUACAACUUUUUAUAAGUUAAGGUCUCAAAUCACAUUCUCAUUCUUAUGUCAUUUUGUUAUUUUAUUUUUUAACAACAUACACCACAUAAGUGACCCAUCCACUAUAUGAGAGUAGUGAGUUGAAGACUUUGAUAAUACAAUUCAUAAAAUGAUUCAAUUUCACUUCAAAAAUGAUAUUGGUAUUAUAAAUCAAGGUAAGAAUAUGAUCAUUAUUUUAAUAUUUAUAUUUAUUUUGUUUUAUGUAUUCAAAAUUGUUUUUUUUUUAAAUAAUGAUUUCCGCAUAAAGUUUAUAAAAGUUUAGUUAACAAGAUACCUAUGUGGAUGAGAUGCACUAAAAUUAUUCUGAGAUGGAACCUAUCUUGUGGAAUUUUUUUUAAAUAAAUUAUUUUUGUUCAAAACUUAGAAAAAAUAACUUGUUGAAAACUAAAUUCAACUAUACACUUUCGUAUUUUUCUUUUUAUAAGAUCAAAUCCACGUUAUCACUUUUCCACUAGAAUCCUCAUGAUUAAUUGUAGAAUUCUUGAGAUGAAAUGAAAUGGUUGUUGAAACUUCAGUUUUCAAACUUGAUCAAUGUUGUCCCUUCCCUUAGCUGUGCAUUAUUCCAAUGCCAGUUUUUCUCCACAAACUUAGUCCAGAGACAAGAUUAGAUUCCGUGUGGAACCAUUCAUGUGUGGAUCCCGUUGUGAGACUUGACCAUCAAUAUCCUUCUCUCCAUUUGUGGGGUACUGCCCACGUGAUCACUACUUUGGAAAUUUGACUCUCAAAGACCCAUAACUACAGAUUUUCCAUAAAACCAAAACGUGAUGUAGACUAAUUGGCGCCUAGCGUUGACCCAAAGUGAAGUCUUUUCUCUUGUCUGGCAUUUUCCACAUUUAUUUAUGAUUACCAUUUACCAAGACUUGCAUAAGCGACAUUGGGAAUUGGUGUACCCCAAUUUUCUGACAUGGAUUUACAACACUCAUAUAUUUAUAUUUUUAUUGAUUCUCAUUUCUCAAUGUCAAGAAUAGAUGUUAAUAUUUAAUACCUAAACUGUUUCUAACAUUAAAGUAAAUAUGAUUUCACGAAUUUCAUAUUUUCUAUCCUGUGGAUGAGAUGCACUAAAAUUAUUCUGAGAUGGAACCUAUCCUGUGGAAUUUUUUUUAAAUAAAUUAUUUUUGUUCAAAACUUAGAAAAAAUAACUUGUUGAAAACUAAAUUCAACUAUACACUUUCGUAUUUUUCUUUUUAUAAGAUCAAAUCCACGUUAUCACUUUUCCACUAGAAUCCUCAUGAUUAAUUGUAGAAUUCUUGAGAUGAAAUGAAAUGGUUGUUGAAACUUCAGUUUUCAAUCUUGAUCAAUGUUGUCCCUUCCCUUAGCUGUGCAUUAUUCCAAUGCCAGUUUUUCUCCACAAACUUAGUCCAGAGACAAGAUUAGAUUCCGUGUGGAACCAUUCAUGUGUGGAUCCCGUUGUGAGACUUGACCAUCAAUAUCCUUCUCUCCAUUUGUGGGGUACUGCCCAAAGGCAAUUAGGAUAAGUUUCUUUAUUGACUAUUCAAUGCCCUGUCACAUUGAUUUAUUGUCCGCCCCAGUGCCCAAUGGCCCAUUCAUAUUGACUUGACUUUCAAAUACCAUUUAACCGUUGGUUUUCAUCUUUCCCGCCCAUCUUCCUCCCAACUCAUAGAGAAGCGGUAAGGAACUCAACGUCACCAAAAUGCGGAAACCACCAUUUUUAUUUACCAAAAUUCCAUUCCCCGCUCUAUUUCUCCUCCUCGUCUUCUCCUUAACCUUUCAAGUAAUUUCCCAAAAUCUAGAUGCUGAACGAUCAAUCCUACUAGACGUUAAACAACAACUGGGCAAUCCACCGUCACUCCAAUCGUGGAAUUCCUCAUCCUCGCCCUGUGAUUGGUCGGAAAUUACAUGCAUCGACAAUAUCGUCACUGAAAUUUCACUCAGCUACAAGACCAUCACAAAGAAAAUUCCAGCCAGAAUUUGUGACCUCAAGAACCUAAUCGUACUUGACGUCUCCUACAAUUACAUUCCAGGCGAGUUCCCGGAUAUUCUCAAUUGCUCUAAGCUCGAAUAUCUCCUCUUGUUGCAAAACUCCUUCGUGGGUCCAAUUCCAGCUGAUAUUGAUCGACUUUCACGUCUCCGGUACCUAGACCUCACCGCAAACAACUUCUCUGGAGAUAUUCCCGCAGCAAUUGGGCGGCUACGGGAGCUGUUCUACUUGUUUAUGGUUCAAAAUGAGUUCAACGGCACCUGGCCAACAGAGAUUGGUAAUUUGGCAAAUCUUGAACAAUUGGCCAUGGCCUAUAAUGACAAAUUCCGGCCUUCAGCCCUUCCAAAGGAGUUUGGCGCAUUGAAGAAGCUGAAAUUUCUGUGGAUGACGGAGGCGAAUUUGAUCGGCGAAAUACCGAAGAGCUUCAACAAUCUAUCGAGUCUGGAACGCUUGGACCUCUCACUCAACGAAUUGAAUGGUACGAUCCCGGUAGGCAUGCUUACGUUGAAGAAUUUGACCUAUUUGUAUUUAUUCUGUAAUAGAUUGUCAGGCCGCGUUCCUUCAUCGAUAGAAGCUUUCAACUUGAAAGAAAUUGAUCUUUCCGACAACCAUUUGACGGGGCCGAUACCAGCAGGUUUCGUGAAGCUACAAAAUUUGACAUGUUUGAAUCUUUUUUGGAAUCAGUUGUCAGGAGAGAUACCAGCAAAUAUAAGCCUCAUUCCUACACUUGAAACCUUCAAAGUUUUUAGCAAUAAAUUGAGUGGAGUUUUGCCCCCAGCAUUUGGCCUUCAUUCGGAGCUCAAAUUCUUUGAGAUUUUUGAGAAUAAACUAAGCGGGGAACUACCGCAACAUUUAUGCGCUAGGGGAACUUUGCUUGGAGUGAUUGCUUCCAACAAUAAUCUCAGCGGAGAAGUGCCCAAGUCCCUCGGGAAUUGCAGAAGUUUGCUCACCAUUCAGGUUUCCAACAAUCGCUUUUCAGGCGAGAUUCCUUCUGGCAUCUGGACAUCCCCGGGCAUGGUAUCGGUGAUGUUAGCUGGAAAUUCAUUCUCGGGGGCACUUCCAAGUAGAUUGGCAAGGAAUUUGUCCAGAGUGGAUAUCAGUAACAACAAGUUUUCUGGUCCAAUUCCUACUGAAAUCUCUUCUUGGAUGAAAAUAGGUGUUCUUAAUGCCAACAACAAUAUGUUGUCAGGAAAAAUUCCAGUGGAAUUGACCAGUCUUUGGAACAUCUCUGUUCUGUUGCUUGAUGGGAAUCAAUUCUCGGGUGAACUUCCAUCCCAGAUCAUCUCAUGGAAGUCACUCACUAAUUUGAAUCUCUCAAGAAACAAACUGUCAGGCCUAAUUCCCAAGGCAUUAGGUUCUUUACCUAGCCUUACUUACCUCGACCUGUCAGAAAACCAGUUCUUAGGUCAAAUUCCUUCUGAACUCGGUCAUUUGAAGCUUAAUAUCCUCAAUCUUUCGUCCAACCAACUCUCUGGGUUGGUCCCCUUUGAGUUUCAAAAUGCAGCAUACAAUUACAGUUUCUUGAACAAUCCCAAACUGUGUGUCAAUGUUCCCACUCUGAACCUCCCUAGAUGUGAUGCCAAACCCGUUGACUCCUACAAAUUGUCAACCAAAUAUCUUGUUAUGAUCCUAAUUUUCGCUCUAUCUGGUUUCCUAGCUGUUGCCUUCUUUACCCUGUUCAUGGUUCGACACUAUCACAGGAAGAAUCAUAGUCGAGACCAAACAAAUUGGAAGCUUACUCCAUUCCAAAAUCUGGAUUUCGAUGAACAGAACAUAUUGUUCGGUUUGACAGAAAAUAAUUUGAUCGGACGUGGUGGGUCAGGGAAAGUAUACCGAAUUGCUAAUGACCGUUCUGGUGAAAUCUUUGCUGUUAAAAUGAUUUGUAACAACGGGAGAUUGGAUCACAAGCUUCAGAAACCAUUCAUAGCAAAAGACGAGAUAUUGGGCACCUUACACCAUUCCAAUAUAGUGAAGUUGUUGUGCUGCAUAUCAAAUGAAACCACAAGUCUUCUUGUUUAUGAGUACAUGGAGAACCAAAGUUUGGAUAGAUGGCUUCAUGGGAAGAAGCAGAGAACAUCGUCCAUGACAAGUUCAGUUCAUAACUUCGUCUUGGAUUGGCCAACAAGGUUGCAGAUUGCCAUCGGAGCUGCAAAAGGCCUACGCCACAUGCAUGAAUACUGUUCUGCCCCGAUCAUACAUCGAGAUGUAAAGUCCAGCAACAUCUUACUAGACGCUGAGUUCAACGCGAAAAUUGCAGAUUUUGGAUUAGCCAAGAUGUUGGUCAAGCAAGGAGAGCCUGACACCAUGUCAGGAGUUGCAGGCUCUUACGGAUAUAUUGCCCCCGGUAAGACUAUCCAAGGCCUUCCUGUCCACAUGUUCUCAUUUCCAUAAUUUAUCGAUAAUUUUUAUCAAAUAAUUCUUGUAUGCUUGGAUGACAGAGUAUGCUUAUACAACAAAGGUGAACGAGAAGAUUGAUGUAUAUAGCUUUGGAGUAGUUCUGCUUGAGCUGGUGACGGGGAGAGAACCCAACAGCGAGCACAUGUGCCUUGUAGAAUGGGCAUGGGAUCAGUUUAGAGAAGGGAAAACCAUUGAGGAAGUGGUGGAUGAGGAGAUCAAGGAACAAUGUAACAGAGCACAAGUGACCACUCUCUUCAAUCUAGGCCUCAUGUGCACUACCACAUUACCAUCCACUAGGCCAACAAUGAAGGAGGUUUUGGAAAUUCUUCGACAGUGCAAUCCUCAGAAGGACCAUGGAAGAAAGAAAAAGGACCAUGAAGCUGCACUCGAACAUACAUCGAGAUGUAAAGUCCAGCAACAUCUUACUAGACGUUGAGUUCAACGCGAAAAUUGCAGAUUUUGGAUUAGCCAAGAUGUUGGUCAAGCAAGGAGAGCCGGACACUAUGUCAGGAGUUGAAGGCUCUUAUGGAUAUAUUGGCCCCGGUAAGACCAUCCAAGGCUUUUCUGUCCACAUGUUCUCAUUUCCAUAAUUUAUUGAUAAUUUUUAUCAAAUAAUUCUCGUAUGCUUGGAUGACAGAGUAUGCUUAUACAACAAAGGUGAAGGAGAAGAUCGAUGUAUAUAGCUUUAGAGUAGUUCUUCUUGAGCUGGUGACGAGGAGAGAACCCAAUAGCGAGCACAUGUGCCUUGUAGAAUGGGCAUGGGAUCAGUUUAGAGAAGGGAAAACCAUUGAGGAAGUGGUGGAUGAGGAGAUCAAGGAACAAUGUGACAAAGCACAAGUGACCACUCUCUUCAAUCUAGGCCUCAUGUGUAUUACCACAUUACCAUCCACUAGGCCAACAAUGAAGGAGGUUUUGGAAAUUCUUCGACAGUGUAGUCCUCAUGAGGACCAUGGAAGAAAGAAAAAGGACCAUGAAGCUGCACCCGAACAUACAUUGAGAUGUAAAGUCCAGCAACAUCUUACUAGACGCUGAGUUCAGCGCGAAAAUUGUAGAUUUUGGAUUAGCCAAGAUGUUGGUCAAGCAAGGAGAGUCGGACACCAUGUCAGGAGUUGAAGGCUCUUACGGAUAUAUUGCCCCCGGUAAGACCAUCCAAGGCCUUCCUGUCCACAUGUUCUCAUUUCCAUAAUUUAUCGAUAAUUUUUAUCAAAUAAUUCUCGUAUGCUUGGAUGACAGAGUAUGCUUAUACAACAAAGGUGAACGAGAAUAUCGAUGUAUAUAGCUUUGGAGUAGUUCUGCUAGAGCUGGUGAUGGGGAGAGAACCCAACAACGAGCACAUGUGCCUUGUAGAAUGGGCAUGAGAUCAGUUUAGAGAAGAGAAAACCAUUGAGGAAGUGGUGGAUGAGGAGAUCAAGGAACAAUGUGACAAAGCACAAGUGACCACUCUCUUCAAUCUAGGCCUCAUGUGCACUACCACAUUACCAUCCACUAGGCCAACAAUGAAGGAGGUUUUGGAAAUUCUUCGAUAGUGCAGUCCUUAGGAGGACCAUGGAAGAAAGAAAAAGGACCAUGAAGCUGCACCCGAUCAUACAUCGAGAUGUAAAGUCCAGCAACAACUUACUAGACGCUGAGUUCAGCGCGAAAAUGGUAGAUUUUGGAUUAGCCAAGAUGUUGGUCAAGAAAGGAGAGCCUGACACCAUGUCAGGAGUUGAAGGCUCUUACGGAUAUAUUGCCCCCGGUAAGACCAUCCAAGGCCUUCCUGUCCACAUGUUCUCAUUUCCAUAAUUUAUCGAUAAUUUUUAUCAAAUAAUUCUCGUAUGCUUGGAUUACAGAGUAUGCUUAUACAACAAAGGUGAACAAUAAGAUCGAUGUAUAUAGCUUUGGAGUAGUUCUGCUUGAGCUGGUGACGAGGAGAGAACCUAAUAGCGAGCACAUGUGCCUUGUAGAAUGGGCAUGAGAUUAAUUUAGAGAAGGGAAAACCAUUGAGGAAGUGGUGGAUGAGGAGAUUAAGGAACAAUGUGACAGAGCAUAAGUGACCACUCUCUUUAAUCUAGGCCUCAUGUGCACUACCACAUUACCAUCCACUAGGCCAACAAUGAAGGAGGUUUUGGAAAUUCUUCGACAGUGCAGUCCUCAUGAGGACCAUGGAAGAAAGAAAAAGGACCAUGAAGCUGCACCUGAACAUACAUCGAGAUGUAAAGUCCAGCAACAUCUUACUAGACGCUGAGUUCAACGCGAAAAUUGUAGAUUUUGGAUUACCCAAGAUGUUGGUCAAGCAAGGAGAGCCCGAUACCAUGUCAGGAGUUGCAGGCUCUUACAGAUAUAUUGCCCCCGGUAAGACCAUCCAAGGCCUUCCUGUCCACAUGUUGUCAUUUCCAUAAUUUAUCGAUAAUUUUUAUCAAAUGAUUCUCGUAUGCUUGGAUGACAGAGUAUGCUUAUACACCAAAGGUGAAGGAGAAGACCGAUGUAUAUAGCUUUGGAGUAGUUCUUCUUGAGCUGGUGACGGGGAGAGAACCUAACAGCGAGCACAUGUGCCUUGUAGAAUGGGCAUGGGAUCAGUUUAGAGAAGGGAAAACCAUUGAGGAAGUGGUGGAUGAGGAGAUCAAAGAACAAUGUGACAGAGCACAAGUGACCACUUUCUUCAAUCUAGGCCUCAUGUGCACUACCACAUUACCAUCCACUAGGCCAACAAUGAAGGAGGUUUUGGAAAUUCUUCGACUGUGCAGUCCUCAGGAGGACCAUGGAAGAAAGAAAAAAGACCAUGAAGCUGCACCCCUGCUUCUAAAUGGCACUUAACCUGCCACUUUCAAGCAUAACGACAAGGGAUUUCUAUUUUUCUGUCAUUACUAUAGUGGGAUUUCAAAGAAAUGGGCUUCAUUUUUUAAACUUCUUAUUACCAGCAGGAGUCCCACUACCGUUAGCACCUUUGUUAGUAGUUCUUGAGCUAAUCCCUCAUUGUUUUCAUGCAUUAAACUUAGGAAUGCAUUUAUUUGCUAAUAUGAUGGCCGG